GACGAACGCUGGCGGCGUGCCUAAUACAUGCAAGUCGAGCGGAUCUCAGAGGGAGCUUGCUCCUGAUGAGGUUAGCGGCGGACGGGUGAGUAACACGUAGGCAACCUGCCCUUCAGACCGGGAUAACAUUCGGAAACGAAUGCUAAGACCGGAUAGGCAGCGAGGCGGCAUCGCCUUGCUGAGAAACACGGUGCAAGCUGUGGCUGGAGGAUGGGCCUGCGGCGCAUUAGCUAGUUGGUGGGGUAACGGCUCACCAAGGCGACGAUGCGUAGCCGACCUGAGAGGGUGAACGGCCACACUGGGACUGAGACACGGCCCAGACUCCUACGGGAGGCAGCAGUAGGGAAUCUUCCACAAUGGGCGCAAGCCUGAUGGAGCAACGCCGCGUGAGUGAGGAAGGCUUUCGGGUCGUAAAGCUCUGUUGCCAGGGAAGAAUAAGGGUGAAGUAACUACUCAUCCGAUGACGGUACCUGAGAAGAAAGCCCCGGCUAACUACGUGCCAGCCGCCGCCGUAACAC
Molecule: ribosomal RNA, 518 nt
Filed under: uncultured bacterium
Lineage: Bacteria
Description: bacterial SSU rRNA
Rfam family: Bacterial small subunit ribosomal RNA
Source: RNAcentral